This 223-nucleotide ribosomal RNA is filed under the name uncultured bacterium. RNAcentral's name for it is "partial 16S ribosomal RNA". It matches the Rfam family "Bacterial small subunit ribosomal RNA", at positions 524 to 746 of the family's 1533-position model. The record is from RNAcentral.
UACAGAGGGUGCAAGCGUUGUUCGGAAUUAUUGGGCGUAAAGCGCGUGUAGGCGGCUUUGCAAGUCGGGUGUGAAAGCCCUCAGCUCAACUGAGGAAGUGCGCCCGAAACUGCAGAGCUUGAGUACCGGAGAGGGUGGCGGAAUUCCCCAAGUAGAGGUGAAAUUCGUAGAUAUGGGGAGGAACACCGGUGGCGAAGGCGGCCACCUGGACGGUCACUGACGC